Long non-coding RNA from Pteropus alecto (black flying fox), 880 nucleotides. RefSeq lists it as uncharacterized. The transcript is spliced from 4 exons. Lineage: Eukaryota; Metazoa; Chordata; Mammalia; Chiroptera; Pteropodidae. The record is from RefSeq and is a predicted model, not a curated record.
UUGGCUGGUCUUGGGUUUGUGCUCAGAUCACAGGCUGUGGAGCGGCGGCUCGGGGCGGAGGCUACGCGACUGGGAAGGCGCCGGAGGAGUUGUCCCCGCUGCUCAGAGGCGGGUCUGAGGCACUGGGUUGCGGUGACUCUGCUGCCAGGUCUCCGUUCCGAUCGCCCGCCGCUCCCGCCCCGCCCACAGUGUCGAUGGCGGUGGCCGCUCUGAGGGACCCGGCUCCUGUGAGUGCACUUCCUGGGCCUCACCGCCCUCAGUCCCUCUAACUCUAAAGCCCCACGUGCAGCCCAGGCCCCGGCGUCCGGGACCGUGAGGCGCUGGUGGACGACAUCCGGGAUGACAGAAUGAGAGAGGGUCACAGGCGGAGCGGCAGGCCGUGUGAAGACGUCGGGGUACGAUCGAGUCGGGAGUAUUCUGGAACCCUGAAGUCCGCCGGAACAGAGAGCAAGGGGACAGGAGUCAGACCUGGGAUGGCUCCCAGAGAAGCUGGCUGGGUGUCUGUUCUAGAGAUGACGGGAACAGUGGCAGGUUUUGGAGCAGAGGAGGGAGGUGAUCUGAUCAAGUCGUCAUAAGGCUCUCUGUGGCUGCAGCAUGGAGAAGAGACCAAGGGGGUAUGAAGGUGGUAGGAAGACCAAGGAAGAGGCUACUGCCAUAGUCCAGUUCUGGAGACUGGGAAGUCCAGAUCAAACAGCUGGCAGAUUCCAUUCCUGGCGAGGAACUCUUCCUGUCUUGCAGAUAGCUGUGUCCUCACAUGGCCUUGGUACAAGGCUGUGUGACGUUUGAAGAUGUGGCCAUUUAUUUCUCCCGGGAGGAGUGGGGGCUCCUCGAUGAGGCUCAGAGGUUCCUGUACCGUGAUGUGAUGCUGGAGAACUUUGCA